GACGAACGCUGGCGGCGUGCUUAACACAUGCAAGUCGAACGGAAAGGCCCUGCUUUUGUGGGGUGCUCGAGUGGCGAACGGGUGAGUAACACGUGAGUAACCUGCCCUUGACUUUGGGAUAACUUCAGGAAACUGGGGCUAAUACCGGAUAGGAGCUCCUGCUGCAUGGUGGGGGUUGGAAAGUUUCGGCGGUUGGGGAUGGACUCGCGGCUUAUCAGCUUGUUGGUGGGGUAGUGGCUUACCAAGGCUUUGACGGGUAGCCGGCCUGAGAGGGUGACCGGCCACAUUGGGACUGAGAUACGGCCCAGACUCCUACGGGAGGCGGCAGUGGGGAAUAUUGCACAAUGGGCGGAAGCCUGAUGCAGCAACGCCGCGUGCGGGAUGACGGCCUUUGGGUUGUAAACCGCUUUCGCCUGUGACGAAGCGUGAGUGACGGUAAUGGGUAAAGAAGCACCGGCUAACUACGUG
RNAcentral lists this ribosomal RNA (468 nucleotides) under uncultured bacterium. Its description in RNAcentral is "partial 16S ribosomal RNA". It matches the Rfam family "Bacterial small subunit ribosomal RNA", at positions 28 to 507 of the family's 1533-position model. The record is from RNAcentral.